This is a non-coding RNA of Kogia breviceps (pygmy sperm whale), 252 nucleotides long. The record is from RefSeq and is a predicted model, not a curated record. Lineage: Eukaryota; Metazoa; Chordata; Mammalia; Artiodactyla; Physeteridae.
AGUGGCAUCAUGCCCGAGGGCGCUGGGGUCAGGGUCGCGGCUUUUCCGGACGUUCGUCGGCCAAGAGUAAGGAAAGCACAUCCCGGAAAGGUGGAAAGACUAUCUCCCAGUGGGACAGCGGAUGCCUGGGACUCCUUGCAUUGCUUUCAAAGUUCCUUUAGAAAAGAGUUUUGAAAAGAAUCUUGCUCCAGAAGAAUGUUUUUCCCCCUUGGAUCUUUUUUUAACAAACUCCAAGAAUAGAGUGAAGAACUU